GGGGAAUUUUCCGCAAUGGGCGAAAGCCUGACGGAGCAAUGCCGCGUGNAGGUAGAAGGCCCACGGGUCGUGAACNUCUUUUCCCGGAGAAUAAGCAACUGACGGUAUCUGGGGAAUNAGCAUCGGCUAACUCUGUGCCAGCAGCCGCGGUAAUACAGAGGAUGCAAGCGUUAUCCGGAAUGAUUGGGCGUAAAGCGUCUGUAGGUGGCUUNUNAAGUCCGCCGUCAAAUCCCAGUGGCUCAACCCUGAUACAGGCGGUGGAAACUACCAAACUGGAGUACGGUANGGGCAGAGGGAAUUNCCGGUGUAGCGGUGAAAUGCGUANAGAUCGGAAAGAACACCAACGGCGAAAGCACUCUGCUGGGCCGACACUGACACUGANAGACGAAAGCUANGGGAGCGAAUGGGAUUANAUACCCCANUANUCA
This 428-nucleotide ribosomal RNA is filed under the name uncultured cyanobacterium. RNAcentral's name for it is "partial 16S ribosomal RNA". It matches the Rfam family "Bacterial small subunit ribosomal RNA", at positions 356 to 796 of the family's 1533-position model. The record is from RNAcentral. Lineage: Bacteria; Bacillati; Cyanobacteriota.